Molecule: long non-coding RNA, 618 nt
Organism: Zophobas morio
Lineage: Eukaryota; Metazoa; Arthropoda; Insecta; Coleoptera; Tenebrionidae
Exons: 4
Source: RefSeq, a predicted model, not a curated record
UGUGGCCUCCAGUCCUAUUUCCACCCUGAAGGAUAUGUUUAUUCGUUCCUUAAGUUUCUUUGCACUUUCUUCUUCGCCCUUUUACAACCGGCUGUUACUCUCUUUAAAGUUGCGACUUUACUGAAUUUAAGUUCUUUUUACUAUAUAAACUCUAUUUGGGCCACAACUUAUUUAUGAGUUAUAUGAAAAAUUUGGUUCAUCCUUCUUAUUCUACGACUCUCCCUGUAAGUAGAAUCAAGAAGAUUAUGAAAAGGGAUGUCCACGCUCCUUUAGUUUCGCAGGAAGGCUGCUUUGUUAUAGCCAAGUCCGUGGAGUGUUUUGUGGCGUACCUUGCUACGGAAGGAUACGAGCGCGCCCAGUGCGAUAAACGGAAAACUGUUCAAUAUAAUGAUUUAGCUACUUGUGUAUUUGAAGAUAGCUCGCUUGCGUUUUUGGACGAAGCACUUCCUUUUCGCCAAACUUCUGCCUUUAAAAGAAGAAGCACUUCUCGUUCAAACGUUUCUAAGAAAGGCAAAGAAGAAGAGAGUGAAGGAGAUUUUGAUGAAGGAAGAAAUGUUACGCUUGAAGAUUUAUAGUCUUUAGUAUUUAAAUUCGAUUGGCACAUGUUAUUUUUUAAGA